This 706-nucleotide ribosomal RNA is filed under the name uncultured bacterium. Its description in RNAcentral is "bacterial SSU rRNA". It matches the Rfam family "Bacterial small subunit ribosomal RNA", at positions 1 to 705 of the family's 1533-position model. The record is from RNAcentral.
UCGAUUGAGUUUGAUCAUGGCUCAGAUUGAACGCUGGCGGCAUGCCUUACACAUGCAAGUCGAACGCGAAAGCGGGGCAACCCGCAAGUAGAGUGGCGAACGGGUGAGUAAUACAUCGGAACGUGCCCAGUAGCGGGGGAUAACCUCUCGAAAGAGAGGCUAAUACCGCAUACGACCUAUGGGUGAAAGAGGGGGAUCGCAAGACCUCUCACUAUUGGAGCGGCCGAUGUCGGAUUAGCUAGUUGGUGGGGUAACGGCCUACCAAGGCGACGAUCCGUAGCUGGUCUGAGAGGACGGCCAGCCACACUGGAACUGAGACACGGUCCAGACUCCUACGGGAGGCAGCAGUGGGGAAUUUUGGACAAUGGGCGCAAGCCUGAUCCAGCCAUGCCGCGUGAGUGAAGAAGGCCUUCGGGUUGUAAAGCUCUUUCGGCGGGGACGAAAAGGUCCGGGUUAACAACUCGGAUCCAUGACGGUACCCGCAUAAGAAGCACCGGCUAACUACGUGCCAGCAGCCGCGGUAAUACGUAGGGUGCAGGCGUUAAUCGGAAUUACUGGGCGUAAAGCGUGCGCAGGCGGUCUUUUAAGUCAGAUGUGAAAUCCCCGGGCUUAACCUGGGAACUGCGUUUGAAACUGGAAGGCUAGAGUGUGGCAGAGGGGGGUGGAAUUCCACGUGUAGCAGUGAAAUGCGUAGAUAUGUGGAGGA